GGCGAUAUGGCCGAGCGGUCUAAGGCGCUAGAAUCAGGUUUAUUCCACACUUCUGGGUGUGGGAUCUGAACAUCUAGUCAGAAAUGGCGUGGGUUCGAAUCCCACUGUCGUCA
Non-coding RNA from Mycena floridula, 113 nucleotides. The record is from the annotation of a GenBank genome assembly. NCBI's taxonomy places the organism in Eukaryota, Fungi, Basidiomycota, Agaricomycetes, Agaricales, Mycenaceae.